UGGGGAAUUUUGCACAAUGGAGGAAACUCUGAUGCAGCGACGCCGCGUGAGUGAUGAAGAUCUUCGGAUUGUAAAACUCUGUCCUUAGUGAAGAUAAUGACAGUAACUAAGAAGCAAGCCCUGGCUAAAUACGUGCCAGCAGCCGCGGUAAUACGUAUGGGGCAAGCGUUGUCCGGAAUUAUUGGGCGUAAAGGGUACGUAGGCGGUUUAAUAAGUCCUAAUUAAAAGGCUAUGGCUCAACCAUAGUAUGGUUAGGAAACUGUUGAACUUGAGUAGAUGAGGGGAAAGUGGAAUUCCAUGUGUAGCGGUGCAAUGCGUAGAUCUAUGGAGGAACACCAAUGCCGAAGGCAACUUUCUGGAAUCAAACUGACGCUGAGGUACGAAGGCGUGGGGAGCAAACAGG
RNAcentral lists this ribosomal RNA (403 nucleotides) under Fusobacteriota bacterium. RNAcentral describes it as "Fusobacteria bacterium partial 16S ribosomal RNA". It matches the Rfam family "Bacterial small subunit ribosomal RNA", at positions 355 to 776 of the family's 1533-position model. The record is from RNAcentral. Lineage: Bacteria; Fusobacteriati; Fusobacteriota.